RNAcentral lists this ribosomal RNA (445 nucleotides) under uncultured bacterium. Its description in RNAcentral is "partial 16S ribosomal RNA". It matches the Rfam family "Bacterial small subunit ribosomal RNA", at positions 354 to 796 of the family's 1533-position model. The record is from RNAcentral.
GUGAGGAAUAUUGCGCAAUGGAGGCAACUCUGACGCAGCCAUGCCGCGUGCAGGAAGAAGGCGCUACGCGUUGUAAACUGCUUUUAACCGGGAAGAAACCCCAGGACGUGUCCUGGGUUGACGGUACCGGAGGAAUAAGCACCGGCUAACUUCGUGCCAGCAGCCGCUGUAAUACGAAGGGUGCAAGCGUUAUCCGGAUUCAUUGGGUUUAAAGGGUGCGUAGGCGGAGCGUUAAGUCAGUGGUGAAAUCCUGCAGCUUAACUGUAGACUUGCCAUUGAUACUGGCGCUCUUGAGUGCGCUUGAAGUGGGCGGAAUGUGCCGUGUAGCGGUGAAAUGCUUAGAUAUGGCACAGAACACCAAUUGCGAAGGCAGCUCACUAAGGCGAUACUGACGCUGAGGCACGAAAGCGUGGGGAUCGAACAGGAUUAGAAACCCUUGUAGUCC